GACGAACGCUGGCGGCGCGCCUAACACAUGCAAGUCGAACGAGCGAGAGAGAGCUUGCUUUCUCGAGCGAGUGGCGAACGGGUGAGUAACGCGUGAAGAACCUGCCUCAAAGAGGGGGACAACAGUUGGAAACGACUGCUAAUACCGCAUAAGCCCACGACCCGGCAUCGGGUAGAGGGAAAAGGAGCAAUCCGCUUUGAGAUGGCCUCGCGUCCGAUUAGCUAGUUGGUGAGGUAACGGCCCACCAAGGCGACGAUCGGUAGCCGGACUGAGAGGUUGAACGGCCACAUUGGGACUGAGACACGGCCCAGACUCCUACGGGAGGCAGCAGUGGGGAAUAUUGCACAAUGGGGGAAACCCUGAUGCAGCGACGCCGCGUGGAGGAAGAAGGUCUUCGGAUUGUAAACUCCUGUUGUUGAGGAAGAUAAUGACGGUACUCAACAAGGAAGUGACGGCUAACUACGUG
RNAcentral lists this ribosomal RNA (466 nucleotides) under uncultured bacterium. RNAcentral's name for it is "partial 16S ribosomal RNA". It matches the Rfam family "Bacterial small subunit ribosomal RNA", at positions 28 to 507 of the family's 1533-position model. The record is from RNAcentral.